GAAGGCGCUCUGCUGGGCCAUCACUGACGCUCAUGGACGAAAGCCAGGGGAGCGAAAGGGAUUAGAUACCCCUGUAGUCCUGGCCGUAAACGAUGAACACUAGGUGUCGGGGGAAUCGACCCCCUCGGUGUCGUAGCCAACGCGUUAAGUGUUCCGCCUGGGGAGUACGCACGCAAGUGUGAAACUCAAAGGAAUUGACGGGGGCCCGCACAAGCGGUGGAGUAUGUGGUUUAAUUCGAUGCAACGCGAAGAACCUUACCAGGGUUUGACAUCCUGCGAAUCUCUUGGAAACAGGAGAGUGCCUUCGGGAACGCAGUGACAGGUGGUGCAUGGCUGUCGUCAGCUCGUGUCGUGAGAUGUUGGGUUAAGUCCCGCAACGAGCGCAACCCACGUCUUUAGUUGCCAGCAUUUAGUUGGGCACUCUAGAGAGACUGCCGGUGAUAAACCGGAGGAAGGUGUGGAUGACGUCAAGUCAUCAUGCCCCUUACAUCCUGGGCUACACACGUACUACAAUGCUACGGACAAAGGGCUGCAAGUUCGCGAGGACAAGCAAAUCCCAUAAACCGUGGCUCAGUUCAGAUCGUAGGCUGCAACUCGCCUACGUGAAGGCGGAAUCGCUAGUAAUCGCAGGUCAGCAUACUGCGGUGAAUACGUUCCCGGGCCUUGUACACACCGCCCGUCACACCAUGGAAGUUGGCCACGCCCGAAGCCGUUACUCCAACCCUUGUGGAGGAGGACGUCGAAGGUGGGGCUGAUGAGUGGGGUGAAGUCGUAACAAGGUAACCGUA
RNAcentral lists this ribosomal RNA (788 nucleotides) under uncultured bacterium. RNAcentral describes it as "bacterial SSU rRNA". It matches the Rfam family "Bacterial small subunit ribosomal RNA", at positions 717 to 1504 of the family's 1533-position model. The record is from RNAcentral.